UACGUAGGGGGCAAGCGUUGUCCGGAUUUAUUGGGCGUAAAGGGCUCGUAGGCGGUUUGUCGCGUCGGGAGUGAAAACUCAGGGCUUAACUCUGAGCCUGCUUCCGAUACGGGCAGACUAGAGGUAUGCAGGGGAGGACGGAAUUCCUGGUGUAGCGGUGAAAUGCGCAGAUAUCAGGAGGAACACCGGUGGCGAAGGCGGUUCUCUGGGCAUUACCUGACGCUGAGGAGCGAAAGUGUGGGGAGCGAACAGG
RNAcentral lists this ribosomal RNA (253 nucleotides) under uncultured bacterium. Its description in RNAcentral is "partial 16S ribosomal RNA". It matches the Rfam family "Bacterial small subunit ribosomal RNA", at positions 524 to 776 of the family's 1533-position model. The record is from RNAcentral.